RNAcentral lists this microRNA precursor (80 nucleotides) under Astyanax mexicanus (Mexican tetra). RNAcentral describes it as "mir-199 microRNA precursor family". It matches the Rfam family "mir-199 microRNA precursor family". From Rfam's summary of the family: This family consists of the microRNA (miRNA) precursor mir-199 which appears to be specific to humans. Animal miRNAs are transcribed as ~70nt precursors and subsequently processed by the Dicer enzyme to give a ~22nt product. Lineage: Eukaryota; Metazoa; Chordata; Actinopteri; Characiformes; Acestrorhamphidae. The record is from Rfam by way of RNAcentral.
GACCCGCCUGCCCAGUGUUCAGACUACCUGUUCAGGAAGUAGUGAUUGUACAGUAGUCUGCACAUUGGUUAGGCUGAACA